CCGUGAAACUUGGCAGUCCGA
This 21-nucleotide unclassified non-coding RNA is filed under the name Mus musculus (house mouse). RNAcentral describes it as "oocyte_clustered_small_RNA12644". Lineage: Eukaryota; Metazoa; Chordata; Mammalia; Rodentia; Muridae. The record is from RNAcentral.